GCAGCUUGCACGACGUCUUCUUAGGUCCC
RNAcentral lists this small RNA (29 nucleotides) under Bombyx mori (domestic silkworm). RNAcentral's name for it is "ovarian small RNA-5280". The record is from RNAcentral. Lineage: Eukaryota; Metazoa; Arthropoda; Insecta; Lepidoptera; Bombycidae.